GUUCGGGCUGCAUUGAGGCCAGUGGAGAAGGGGCAACCCUCAUGGGACCCCCCCCUCGCCUCCAACAACUCCCCCGGAAAGGGUUGCUCCCAGUUACAUAAUUGCCUGAAGUGAUAACAGAGAAUGAUCCAUGAUAAAACUGAUCUGUGAUAGCAGUUUCACACAUCCGUGUAAUGAAGUGAUGGCUGUUAUAAUUACCAAGUGAAAAACGUAAUCACCACAACUCAAUGCAGGCAAAGGAAGGUCCUCCUUUGAAGACCGACAGGAGUUCGCUUCAGACUGCAGCUUUCGCCACCCCUGCUGCAAAAGUGAGAAAAGCUGCCCCUUCUGAAGUUCCCUCUUUUGCACAACUAUGAAAGCUACAGAAGCCCUGUCCUCCUUCACAUCCAGUCAUUCUACCCUCACCACUUUUUAACCCAGAACUGUGAACUUUAUUGUGAUCGUUGUGAUACUAGACCAGCCUUGCUAUGCAACCUUCUUAGAAACCAAGCAAAAUGAUUCAUUUGACUUUUCAGCAGUUUGAUUUAUGAGUUUCAAAUAUAGUUCCUCCCAGAUGGUAUGGUACUAUUCUGCAUGUACUGGUGAAAUACAAUAGAGCCUUAUAUUUCUGAGUUACUGGGGCAUUUCCAAAUAUCUCAGACAACAAAAAUAUCAGAUUGGGGGGGGGCGGGUUAUGGCUCUGCUAUUGUGCCUUAGCAGGUGACACUUUUCCUAUCAUUAUGCUGGGAAAUUUUGCAGCAGUUGUGGUUAAAGGCUCAGGAGCAGAAGCAGGCGGUAAAGGUGAUAACCCCAGAUCACAGAAAUAGAAGGUUUGGUUAUGUUUUUGCUAAUUUUCUGUAUACCAGUGUACCCAUCAUUACAGCACUGUGAUGAGAAAAGUCACCACCAGCCAACCUAUGUAAACCUAACCAUCCAGAGCUAGAAAAAAUCCAAAUAAUAAGAGGUUGCACUAUGGAUAUUUAGAUGCAAUAGAUUAGAUUUAUUGAAAAGUAAAUUUGUUCAGGAUCUAGUCUGCUUCUAUCAACCUGUUCACUAUAAGACAGACAUCUUGCUAUCUUUAUUCCUGGCAGAGACUCUGUGCUGUUAACAGCUGUAUGGCAGGAACAAAUUUCAGUAAGUGAAACAUUUGCCAUUAUUUAUUCUGCAUUCUACACCAGUUGAAUUUCUGUUUGUUGUGUAACUGAUAAAUGAAUCAGGGGGACA
This is a long non-coding RNA of Hemicordylus capensis (graceful crag lizard), 1203 nucleotides long. RefSeq lists it as uncharacterized. The transcript has 3 exons. The record is from RefSeq and is a predicted model, not a curated record. NCBI's taxonomy places the organism in Eukaryota, Metazoa, Chordata, Lepidosauria, Squamata, Cordylidae.